GCCUAGGAAUCUGCCUGGUAGUGGGGGAUAACGUCCGGAAACGGACGCUAAUACCGCAUACGUCCUACGGGAGAAAGCAGGGGACCUUCGGGCCUUGCGCUAUCAGAUGAGCCUAGGUCGGAUUAGCUAGUUGGUGGGGUAAUGGCUCACCAAGGCGACGAUCCGUAACUGGUCUGAGAGGAUGAUCAGUCACACUGGAACUGAGACACGGUCCAGACUCCUACGGGAGGCAGCAGUGGGGAAUAUUGGACAAUGGGCGAAAGCCUGAUCCAGCCAUGCCGCGUGUGUGAAGAAGGUCUUCGGAUUGUAAAGCACUUUAAGUUGGGAGGAAGGGCAGUAAAUUAAUACUUUGCUGUUUUGACGUUACCGACAGAAUAAGCACCGGCUAACUCUGUGCCAGCAGCCGCGGUAAUACAGAGGGUGCAAGCGUUAAUCGGAAUUACUGGGCGUAAAGCGCGCGUAGGUGGUUCGUUAAGUUGGAUGUGAAAUCCCCGGGCUCAACCUGGGAACUGCAUUCAAAACUGACGAGCUAGAGUAUGGUAGAGGGUGGUGGAAUUUCCUG
Molecule: ribosomal RNA, 562 nt
Filed under: uncultured bacterium
Lineage: Bacteria
Description: bacterial SSU rRNA
Rfam family: Bacterial small subunit ribosomal RNA
Source: RNAcentral